Molecule: ribosomal RNA, 1983 nt
Filed under: Triticum aestivum (bread wheat)
Lineage: Eukaryota; Viridiplantae; Streptophyta; Magnoliopsida; Poales; Poaceae
Description: partial small subunit ribosomal RNA
Source: RNAcentral
AUGGACAGCCUUCAGAGUGAUCCUUAUACAAGGAGCAGCUUGCAAAUGCAGCUCAUUGACACCUCCACAUCCUUCGAAACUAGCAAUUUGGAUUUGGUCAAGCAUGAAGUUCCCACCCCUCAAGUUGGCAUGACUUUUGAGACAGUUGAUUUGGCAUACCAGUCUUACCUAGAGUACGGGUACCGUGCAGGCUUUGGAGUUUCAAAAAGAACUUCCCAUAGUGUUGAUGGGGUAAAAUACCGCGCAACAUUUGUUUGUUACAAAGGUGGCAUUGCUAGGAUUAAGCCUGGGCUUAAAGCUCGAAGAAGACUUGUUGCGAAGACUGGCUGCAAAGCUAUGAUGGUGGUGAAGUAUAACGCAAGUGAGAAUCAUUGGGAAGUAGUGUUUGUUGAGCUGGAGCAUAACCACCCAUGUAAUCCUGAAAUGGUCAGAUUCAUGAUGUGUUUUAAGGAUCUCCCUGACUGGCAGAGGGAGCACCGACCAUUCAAUGCGAAAACUAGAUUGAACCCAAAGAUCCAUUCUGGUAGAGGCAGGCCACCCAACCAAAACAAAGAUUUCAUGGUGAGGUCCUUCUCUCAGUCUAAUUAUUCAAUUGAAGCAGCUGCCAAGUGUGGGAAGCUGAGAUUUGCAGAGGGUGACGUUGAGGCAUUAUUAAUCUUUUUCGAUAAGAUGCAAGCUCAAAAUUCCAACUUUUUCUACAACUGGGACAUGGAUGAUGAAGGCCGGCUUAAAAAUGUUUGCUGGGUCGAUGCAAGAUCGAGAGCUGCAUAUCAGCAUUUCAGUGAUGUUGUCUGCUUUGAUACUGUUUAUUUGACAUACCAGUUUGUCAUUCCAUUGGUUGCUUUUCUUGGAAUCAACCAUCAUGGUCAAUUUGUAUUGUUAGGAUGCGGUUUACUGGGAGAUGAGUCUCCAGAGACUUUUUCAUGGUUAUUCAAAAAAUGGCUAAAAUGUAUGAAUGAUAAAGCACCUGAAGCAAUUAUUACCACCCAUUCAAGACCAGUAGUCAAAGCAGUCUCUGAGGUAUUUCUAAAUACUCGUCACAGAUACAACCUUUGGCACAUAAUGAAAGAGCUUCCUGACAUGUCUGGAAGAGUUGAGGAUAAGGAGGCAAUUAGCCUGAGAAUGAAAAAGGUAGUCUAUGACACCAUUACAGCAGCUGAUUUUGAGAAGGAGUGGGUUGAGAUGGCCAAUCAGUACAACCUUCAUGACAAUCGUUGGCUCACAACCUUGUUUGAAGAAAGGGCAAAAUGGGUGCCAGCAUAUGUGAAAGAUGCUUUCUGGGCUGGUAUCUCUACUGUUCGCCGCAGUGAACGGUUGGAGGCCUUUUUUGAUGGAUAUAUUACACCAGAGACCACAAUAAAGAUAUUCAUUGAACAAUUUGAUACUGCUAUGAAGCUUAGGUCCGAUCGAGAAGCCUAUGAUGAUUUCCGUUCUUUUCAGCAAAGGCCACAAGCCCUCUCUGGUCUGUUGUUUGAGGAGCAAUUUGCAAAUGCUUAUACGAUAAAUAUUUUCCAGAAGUUCCAGGAUCAGUUAAAGCAGCUGAUGAAUGUGACUUGCACUGAAGUCAGUAGGAAUGGAUCGAUAGUGACCUACACUGUGACUGUCAUUGGGAAGGAGAGGAAGUUUGACUAUAGAGUGAUGUAUAAUGGUGCUGAGAAAGAGGUGUGGUGUAUCUGUAGGUCGUUCCAGUUUAAAGGUAUUUUGUGUAGCCAUGCUCUUGCAGUCUUGAAGCAAGAGCUUGUGAUGCUAAUACCUUCCAAAUAUAUUCUUGAUCGAUGGAGGAAGGACUAUAAAUGCCCCGAGAAUCUAAGGAAACUCCCAUCCAACCAGAAGCGGCAAAACCAACAGGGAAGGGCACAAAACCUGAAAAUGUCCGUGAUGAUAAAGUGGACAACCUCUACAACGAUGGCCACCAGUACUUUGCUGACAUUGUGGAAAUGGGAGCAACUGAUCCUGAUGCAAUGGAGUAUGUUUUGUCUGUGA